Non-coding RNA from Terfezia boudieri ATCC MYA-4762, 110 nucleotides. Lineage: Eukaryota; Fungi; Ascomycota; Pezizomycetes; Pezizales; Pezizaceae. The record is from the annotation of a GenBank genome assembly.
UCUCCUGUGACGCAGUGGUUAGCGUGUCGUUCUUAUACGUUGGAUUCCUCGGAACCAAGUAUGCCUUCUAAGGAAUGCGAAAGUCGCCGGUUCAAUCCCGGCCAGGAGAA